UUUAAAUAAGAAUAUAUGAUGACAGAGUAUAUAAACCUUGAUUAAAGUAUUAGAACAUUAGUUCAGAUGAGAAAAAAAAAUAGAUGAAUCAAAACAAUUAAAAAUAAAAAGUUGAAUGAAUGAGUGACCUGGUACACUCAAAUUCCAUCAAACUCUUAACUUUAAUCUAAGUAAACUAAAGUACUUAAACAAUUAUAUAAACAGGAAACCCAAAAAUAUUUUCCAAACACGAGCAGUAGAAUACAAAAAUAACAUAGUACUUCUUUCCAAAAUAACUUAUGCAACUAUAUUCAGUAGAAGACACUGCAUUUUCCCCAAGUCUAAUAACAACAUAUUUUGGGAUGCCAACAAAAAAUCACCAAAAGCAGUGAAGGAGAUUUGAAAAAGGGGGUUUGAAAUCACCAAAAAUUCACAAUAAUCACCAAUAGAUGAAAGGGGUUUAAUAUUUCGAAAUCACCAAAAAAUACAGUAAUCAAACAAAAAAGGGGUUUGGAAAAGAAAUACCAACAAAGCAAUAAUGAACAAUCGAUUUAUAAAGAUUAAUAAGAACAAAUCAACUAAUAACAAACAAUAGAUGAAGAAGGGAGAGAAGAUUUACAGGCAAAAGAAGAAGAGCAGUAACGAAGGACAACGAAGCAGUAACCAAGAUAAGGUGCAGUAACCAGUAGGCUGGUGGGUGGGUAUCGAAAUCUCGUCCGUAGGAAGUCGAUCAGCAUGACCUAAGGUGCCGAGGAAGAGGAGAGCGAAGAGGAGAAGAUCUUAGAUCUUCGACUUCUUCUUUUGCUUCUGCGUUUUUCAAGUGAACUCAAUUAGGACUAGGUAUGAGAGAUAAGAGAUUAGGGGAGAUGAGGGGGGGUGGGAUCGAGUUGGCUGGGUAUGAGAGAUAAGAGGUCUGUGUGAGUGUAAGAACAAAGAGAGAGAGAUAGAAGGAUUGAAAUUUGAAUAAGGAAGCUCAGAUGAUGUGAAACUUAAAUUUGAAUAAGAACAGAGAGAGCUGUUGACGUGAAGCUUUUUCUAGUGAUUUUUGAAUAAGGCGUGUUUUUUUAGUGAUUUUUGCAGAGGUAUAAGGCGUGUUUUUCUAGCAAUUUUUGAAUUGUGCGUAUUUUUGAAUUCAAAACCAUUAGAGUAAUUAGAUUAAAUCUGAGGUAUUGGAUGAUGAAGCUUUAAUCUAGACCGUUGUUUGUUGAAGCCGCUCUGUUUUAUUAUAUAUAUAUAUAUAUUUCCUCUCUUUCCUUCACUGUAACACUAGGUAACCCUAAAACGCUAGGGUUUUACAAAAAAGCGAGUGAUAUGGCGUGCACGGUUGAUUUAAGGUGCCUAGAUGAAGGCUUUGGCAGCAAAACCUACAAGCGGAAAAGUGCCGAACAACAUCCCAAUCAGUUAAAUCUCCUCUGAAAUUCCAAUAAUAAUCUAGAAGGGGGGUUGAAUAGAUUAUUACAGAUUAAAAAAUUAUCUUAGGCCUUUUUGAAUUUUUGGAUAAUUAAUUUGUAGUGUUAGAAAUUAAUGUGCAAGACAGUAAAAAUUCAAUCACACAAUGCACAGAGAUUUGUCUGGUUCACAACAUACAUCCCGAGUAUGCUGCUACGUCCAGUCUCAAGCUCCUCUCCAGGACUUGAGAUCCUAUUACUAGCAGUAAUAAAUACUCCUUCAACAGGCGGAGAAGCCUUUACAGAGUUUUAUACUUAAGUUUAGUUGUACUUAAGUUUAGUUGUACUUCUUUUGAGUUCAGUUAUAUUCUAUGAUCUGGUCUUGAAACAACAGCCUCUUCCUCACCUCACAAGUACACUAGAGACCCAACUUCCCGUUGACCUCUCUAAGACUCUGGUUUUGGUCGAAGAAUUACUCUUCUUUCUCACAGGUACAUAAAAUAAACUAACUCUGACAUUUUCUCUUUUUACAAAUGAUUUUACAAUAAUAUGCUUCUCAAAUAAACAUAUAAGAAUUUAGUACAGAUGGAUGCUUCUUAAAUAAGCAUAUAUAAUUUAGUACAAAUUGAUGCUUCUCAAAUAAGCAUAUAUCAAUUAAAG
This 2027-nucleotide long non-coding RNA is filed under the name Panax ginseng (ginseng). RNAcentral's name for it is "long non-coding RNA (PGIN_LNC016300)". Lineage: Eukaryota; Viridiplantae; Streptophyta; Magnoliopsida; Apiales; Araliaceae. The record is from RNAcentral.